CAGAAACACGAUUCGUCUCUAUUGUCUCAUGCAAGAAGAAAUGGAAGAACUGUCUCAACGUCGUUCUCACAGCUCAGAGAGCACGUGAUGUGCAAAGAGCAGAGAACCAGUGAUCACAGAGAAUCACAGGGCCUCGUUGCACCUCGUGGUGAUAUUAUGACACGGGAGUGUCAGAAGUUGUGUCUCGGUGGAAACUUCGAGGAGCAGAAGUCCUGCAGCAGCUGCGUCAUUGAGCCAGACUCCUGGGCUUCUGUCUCUUGUUACAGCUAGCUUGUAAUCACCAGCGUUAGCACUACUGCUUUCUGCUGCGUGAUCACAUUUCUCCCCUCUGCCGCUGUCACUAUGAGGAGUCUAUUAGUUCACAAUUGAAGGUCCAAACAGAUCAUAUUUGCACUAAUAAACACCCCUAUUGCAUCA
Gambusia affinis (western mosquitofish) is the source of this 417-nucleotide long non-coding RNA. RefSeq lists it as uncharacterized. NCBI's taxonomy places the organism in Eukaryota, Metazoa, Chordata, Actinopteri, Cyprinodontiformes, Poeciliidae. The record is from RefSeq and is a predicted model, not a curated record. The transcript is spliced from 2 exons.